Helianthus annuus (common sunflower) is the source of this 337-nucleotide long non-coding RNA. RefSeq lists it as uncharacterized. The transcript is spliced from 4 exons. The record is from RefSeq and is a predicted model, not a curated record. NCBI's taxonomy places the organism in Eukaryota, Viridiplantae, Streptophyta, Magnoliopsida, Asterales, Asteraceae.
CGACCAGGAGAGAUUCCAAACCCUAGAAUCUCAAUAAACUUGCAACUUGAAGGAUUAAUCCAAGUAAAAAUCAAGAAUUGAGCCUAAAAUCAUAAUCCUCAUCACAAGAGGAUUGUAAGGACAAGAUACCGGGACGUCGAGCGGACAAGCCGGUGGUGAUUCUCGUUUGAAGGGCGUGCGCCAAGGACAAGAUACCGGGACGUCGAGCGGACAAGCUGGUGGUGAUUCUCGUUUGAAGGGCGUGCGCCAAGGUAAUUAGGUGGGUCACAAGGAUGGCGAUCAAGUGAUUUUGAAGAUGAACCGAACACUCCACUUCGAAGCUUCCGCUAUGUUUGAA